This 63-nucleotide transfer RNA is filed under the name Alectorobius amblus. RNAcentral's name for it is "tRNA-Arg". Lineage: Eukaryota; Metazoa; Arthropoda; Arachnida; Ixodida; Argasidae. The record is from RNAcentral.
AAAAGUGAAGCAAAUUUUGCAGUCAGUUUCGACCUGAAAAAAGGACAAUCACUCCCACUUUUA